CCUACGGGUGGCAGCAGUGAGGAAUAUUGGUCAAUGGCCGAGAGCCUGAACCAGCCAAGUAGCGUGAAGGAUGACUGCCCUACGGGUUGUAAACUUCUUUUAUCAGGGAGUAAAGCGAGUCACGUGUGACUCAUUGAGAGUACUUUAUGAAUAAGCAUCGGCUAACUCCGUGCCAGCAGCCGCGGUAAUACGGAGGAUGCGAGCGUUAUCCGGAUUUAUUGGGUUUAAAGGGAGCGUAAGUGGGAGGUGAAGUCAGGGGUGAAAGUUCGGGGCUCAACCGCAAACUUGCAGUGGAUACUGGAAGCCUUGAGUGCGGGAGAGGUAGGCGGAAUGCGUGGUGUAGCGGUGAAAUGCUUAGAUAUCACGAAGAACUCCGAUUGCGAAGGCAGCAUAC
RNAcentral lists this ribosomal RNA (394 nucleotides) under uncultured bacterium. RNAcentral's name for it is "partial 16S ribosomal RNA". It matches the Rfam family "Bacterial small subunit ribosomal RNA", at positions 338 to 729 of the family's 1533-position model. The record is from RNAcentral.